Molecule: small RNA, 532 nt
Filed under: Schizosaccharomyces pombe (fission yeast)
Lineage: Eukaryota; Fungi; Ascomycota; Schizosaccharomycetes; Schizosaccharomycetales; Schizosaccharomycetaceae
Description: small heterochromatic RNA precursor
Source: RNAcentral
UUUUUUUUUUUUUUUUUAUUUGCAGUUACUGAUAAUACUAGCAUUUUGCAUACUUUUUUUUAUUUGGAUGUUCUUCCAAUUGAUCAAUACAGUAACUUUAGAACUAUCAUCGCUAUGCCUUUAAAUGACCGCACUAAAAGCAUGGUACCGAAGCACUGACAUAACAGAGAGGUUCAGAAAGGAAUUUAAAGAUUGACUUUUUCGAUAAACUUCAUGUUACAAGUCUUAUCGUUUGUGUUUAUAAAUCAUCAGCCUCUCUCUAUAUCUCUAUAUCUCUAUAUAUCAGAUAUAAAGAUGCGAGUUUUGAAGUAGACAUUCCGCACAAAGUCUAGUACACCAUGUCUCUUGUGCUCAGGCUGGUUGUCCUGCAAAAAUGUACAACAGGCAAAUGGAUGUUUCAUCAAAGAUGGACUCCUUUGUCUCAUACUUAUUGAUGGCGAAGCUAGAUCCGUUAUCAUCUUGAGAAAACACAUCAUCGUCGUACUACAUUUUUUUUCUUACUCAUUGCUUGUUUAUCUACUACGAUUAAACC